This 75-nucleotide transfer RNA is filed under the name candidate division MSBL1 archaeon SCGC-AAA259M10. RNAcentral's name for it is "candidate divison MSBL1 archaeon SCGC-AAA259M10 tRNA". It matches the Rfam family "tRNA". From Rfam's summary of the family: Transfer RNA (tRNA) molecules are approximately 80 nucleotides in length. Their secondary structure includes four short double-helical elements and three loops (D, anti-codon, and T loops). Lineage: Archaea; Methanobacteriati; Methanobacteriota. The record is from Rfam by way of RNAcentral.
GCCCCGGUGGUGUAGUCCGGCCAAGCAUUCCGGCCUUUCGAGCCGGUGACCCGGGUUCAAAUCCCGGCCGGGGCA